CCUGCCAUGCAGAAUUUCAAUUUCCCAGCUCUCAUGCUGAUUGCAUGAGUUUAUAAUUAAAAUAAAUAAAUCAGAGCUUGCAAAACCUCAUAAAUAUUGGGUUUCUUCAAUUUG
This 114-nucleotide small nucleolar RNA is filed under the name Drosophila ananassae. RNAcentral describes it as "snoRNA:GF26095". The record is from RNAcentral. Lineage: Eukaryota; Metazoa; Arthropoda; Insecta; Diptera; Drosophilidae.